ACGGGAGGGAUUGUGCCUGAUAUUCAUAUGAUGAAGACAUAAUCUUUCAAUCAGUUUAAUUGAGGUCUGGAGCUGGCAUGUCAGUUAACUGCUAGUAGUCUGUUGUUAUUUAUGUAUUAUUGUCAUUUUAUUUAUUUUCUUUUGUUACAUCUUCUGACAUCGGACUCGGACUUCUCUUGAACUGAAUUUUAAUGUGCGUAUUGUUA
This 206-nucleotide long non-coding RNA is filed under the name Mytilus galloprovincialis (Mediterranean mussel). Lineage: Eukaryota; Metazoa; Mollusca; Bivalvia; Mytilida; Mytilidae. The record is from RNAcentral.